GACGAACCGUGCGAACGUUGUUCGGAUUCACUGGGCUUAAAGGGCGCGUAGGCGGCUUGCCAAGUCAGGGGUGAAAUCUUUCGGCUCAACCGGAAAACGGCCCCUGAUACUGGCGGGCUUGAGGGAGGUAGGGGCGGAUGGAACUUCCGGUGGAGCGGUGAAAUGCGUAGAUAUUCGGAGGAACACCAGUGGCGAAGGCGGCUCACUGGUCCAUUACUGACGCUGAGGUGCGAAAGUGUGGGGAGCAAACAGG
RNAcentral lists this ribosomal RNA (253 nucleotides) under uncultured bacterium. RNAcentral describes it as "partial 16S ribosomal RNA". It matches the Rfam family "Bacterial small subunit ribosomal RNA", at positions 524 to 776 of the family's 1533-position model. The record is from RNAcentral.